UACGGAGGGUGCAAGCGUUAUCCGGAUUCACUGGGUUUAAAGGGUGCGUAGGUGGGUAGGUAAGUCAGCGGUGAAAUCCCCGAGCUUAACUUGGGAACUGCCAUUGAUACUAUCUGUCUUGAAUACCUUGGAGGUGAGCGGAAUAUGUCAUGUAGCGGUGAAAUGCUUAGAUAUGACAUAGAACACCAAUUGCGAAGGCAGCUCACUAUACGGUUAUUGACACUGAGGCACGAAAGCGUGGGGAUCAAACAGG
This 253-nucleotide ribosomal RNA is filed under the name uncultured bacterium. Its description in RNAcentral is "partial 16S ribosomal RNA". It matches the Rfam family "Bacterial small subunit ribosomal RNA", at positions 524 to 776 of the family's 1533-position model. The record is from RNAcentral.